CACCAUAUUUUUAGGAAAUCUGCAGAAGGGAGUAAAACUACUCAUUAUAUUAUGUUCCUGCUACUUUUAUGAAGAAGAUAAAGAAAAUCUUCUCUCACCAUAUUUUCAAAUAGAAUUUAUGAAGAUGCUGAAGAAAUGUAGUAGCGCUAUCUUGUGUUUAAAUCCUUGAUUUUGUGUAAUUUAUAAAAUUGAAAGCAAUAUGAUAUGACUAACAAGGAUUGUGUCUAUAAAAAAUGUGUAUCAAAGUGUGCAAACUACAAGUACGAGCAUUAAAUCUCAGAAAUGUUUACCACUGUUUUUUUUUGGUUUUAUUCAAUGGAUUUAAUGGAUUGUAGAUGUAGACUCUCUACAUCUUCAUUACCACUUGAAAGUCAACCAGAAUCAUCUUAUUCAAGUGGUAUCACAUCAGGUAGUGCACAACAAGACACAGAAAUGUAUUUUCUUGAAUAAGAGAAUACUCAGCUGAAACUAAAAUUAGAUAAUUUGUCAAAUAUAGAUUUCCAUUUCAGCAUAUCAAGAACGAUAAUAAUUUAGUGAAAGUGUACAUGGGAAUUGGGAAUAACAACUACUGUAUAUUGAAAUACUGAUUAAUAUUUAAUAUGCUAAGUAAUAUUUAGUUAGAAUAUUAUCAUGGAUGGGUGAAAUAUCACAGUUUUAACAAAAAAAAAAAGAAUGUGUUGUAUUUUGUACGCACCUAAGAAGUUAUACAUCUAUUAUAUGAUUUCAAUGAAAUAAACAUUUUAAACAGU
RNAcentral lists this long non-coding RNA (749 nucleotides) under Diabrotica virgifera virgifera (western corn rootworm). RNAcentral's name for it is "uncharacterized LOC126883444". Lineage: Eukaryota; Metazoa; Arthropoda; Insecta; Coleoptera; Chrysomelidae. The record is from RNAcentral.